Ribosomal RNA from Anopheles coustani, 124 nucleotides. Lineage: Eukaryota; Metazoa; Arthropoda; Insecta; Diptera; Culicidae. The record is from RefSeq and is a predicted model, not a curated record.
GUCAACGACCAUACCAUGUUGAAAACACCGGUUCUCGUCCGAUCACCGAAGUUAAGCAACAUCGGGCAUGGUUAGUACAGUACUUAGGUGGGUGACCACUUGGGAACGCCAUGUGUCGUUGGCA